UACGGAGGGGGCUAGCGUUGUUCGGAAUUACUGGGCGUAAAGCGCACGUAGGCGGCUUUGUAAGUCAGGGGUGAAAGCCUGGAGCUCAACUCCAGAACUGCCUUUGAGACUGCAUCGCUUGAAUCCGGGAGAGGUGAGUGGAAUUCCGAGUGUAGAGGUGAAAUUCGUAGAUAUUCGGAAGAACACCAGUGGCGAAGGCGACUCACUGGACCGGUAUUGACGCUGAGGUGCGAAAGCGUGGGGAGCAAACAGG
Molecule: ribosomal RNA, 253 nt
Filed under: uncultured bacterium
Lineage: Bacteria
Description: partial 16S ribosomal RNA
Rfam family: Bacterial small subunit ribosomal RNA
Source: RNAcentral